Molecule: ribosomal RNA, 616 nt
Filed under: Staphylococcus aureus
Lineage: Bacteria; Bacillati; Bacillota; Bacilli; Caryophanales; Staphylococcaceae
Description: partial 23S ribosomal RNA
Rfam family: Bacterial large subunit ribosomal RNA
Source: RNAcentral
CGCUCAAAGGUUCCCUCAGAAUGGUUGGAAAUCAUUCAUAGAGUGUAAAGGCAUAAGGGAGCUUGACUGCGAGACCUACAAGUCGAGCAGGGUCGAAAGACGGACUUAGUGAUCCGGUGGUUCCGCAUGGAAGGGCCAUCGCUCAACGGAUAAAAGCUACCCCGGGGAUAACAGGCUUAUCUCCCCCAAGAGUUCACAUCGACGGGGAGGUUUGGCACCUCGAUGUCGGCUCAUCGCAUCCUGGGGCUGUAGUCGGUCCCAAGGGUUGGGCUGUUCGCCCAUUAAAGCGGUACGCGAGCUGGGUUCAGAACGUCGUGAGACAGUUCGGUCCCUAUCCGUCGUGGGCGUAGGAAAUUUGAGAGGAGCUGUCCUUAGUACGAGAGGACCGGGAUGGACAUACCUCUGGUGUACCAGUUGUCGUGCCAACGGCAUAGCUGGGUAGCUAUGUGUGGACGGGAUAAGUGCUGAAAGCAUCUAAGCAUGAAGCCCCCCUCAAGAUGAGAUUUCCCAACUUCGGUUAUAAGAUCCCUCAAAGAUGAUGAGGUUAAUAGGUUCGAGGUGGAAGCAUGGUGACAUGUGGAGCUGACGAAUACUAAUCGAUCGAAGACUUAAUCAA